AACCAAGAAAUUUAGUCAUUUAUUUUAUGGUAAAAAGACAGUUAGGCAAUAAUGAAAAAUCAUUAGAUCUUUAGUGUAGGAGUAAAAUCUAGAUACUAAAAGUAAUACCAGAGAUGAUUUAUUAGUGAUGCUGAAUCUGUGAUAGCUUUAAGGGAAACUGGGAUUGGAUACCCCAUUAUUUUUAGUUGUAAAUUUAGUUUAAGCUUACCAGAGUACUACGAAUUAAAAGUUUAAAACUCAAAGGGCUUGGCGGUGUUUUAGACCUUUUAGGGGAACCUGUCUCAUAAUCGACAAUCCACGUUAAACCUAACCCUUUAUAGUAAUACAGCCUGUAUACCGUCGUCGUCAGGUAACUUUUUAAAACAUAAUAGUUAGCUUGAGAAUCUAAUUAAUUAAAACGUCAGAUCAAGGUGCAGCUAAUGAGAGGGUGAGGAUGGGUUACAAUUAUACAUUUAUAAUUACAGAAAACAUUUGAAAUGAAAUGUCUUAAAGGAGGACUUAAAAGUAAUUUUGAUUAUAUAGACAAAAUGGAUUUGGCUCUGAAACGUGC
RNAcentral lists this ribosomal RNA (550 nucleotides) under Conus medoci. RNAcentral's name for it is "partial 12S ribosomal RNA". It matches the Rfam family "Bacterial small subunit ribosomal RNA", at positions 594 to 1384 of the family's 1533-position model. Lineage: Eukaryota; Metazoa; Mollusca; Gastropoda; Neogastropoda; Conidae. The record is from RNAcentral.